Molecule: ribosomal RNA, 498 nt
Filed under: uncultured bacterium
Lineage: Bacteria
Description: partial 16S ribosomal RNA
Rfam family: Bacterial small subunit ribosomal RNA
Source: RNAcentral
GACGAACGCUGGCGGCGUGCCUAAUACAUGCAAGUCGAGCGGACGAAUCGAAAGCUUGCUUUUGAUUCGUUAGCGGCGACCGGGUGAGUAACACGUGGGCAACCUGCCCUGUAGACGGGGAUAACACCGAGAAAUCGGUGCUAAUACCGGAUAACACGAAAUGUCUCAUGACGUUUCGUUUAAAGACCGCGCAAGCUGUCGCUACAGGAUGGGCCCCCGGGGCUUUAGCUAGAUGGUGAGGUAACGGCCCACCAAGGCAGCGGUGCGUAGCCGACAUGGGGGGGUGAACGGCCACGCGAGGGUUUAGACACAGCCCAGACUCCUACGGGAGGCAACAGUGGGGAAGUGAUCACAAUGGGCGAGUGUCGGUCGAAGGAACACGGCGUGAACGAAGAAGGCUUUCGGGUCGAAAAGCUGUGUUGUUAGAGAGGAACAGGUAACGCAGUAACGGGCGUUACCGUGACUGUACCUAACAAGAAAGCCACGGCUAACUACGUG